Molecule: unclassified non-coding RNA, 2731 nt
Filed under: Leishmania donovani
Lineage: Eukaryota; Euglenozoa; Kinetoplastea; Trypanosomatida; Trypanosomatidae
Description: gene:LdHU3.33.1640(CDS-product:calcium-transporti ng_ATPase_putative)
Source: RNAcentral
CGGAACGAUUCGCCGGCACCCGAGCCAGCAGCUGCAACAACAGCAGCCCGUCGAUGCGCCGUCGACACGGUUUUGGCGCGAUGGCAACCGAAUGACAUUGUCUACGACCGAUGUUCGUCCCAUCCCCAUCACGACAGUGGGCACCCUCACCUGCAGCGACAAGGAGCAGAACUUCAACGUCAACGUGAAGCAGCGCGUACGGCCCAGCGCCAACUCCGCCAGCUGCUCCCUCAACACCUCGAGUAUGACGAUGCCGGUGGUCCAGUCCGUUUCACCUGCGCCGACCAGCGCUUCGGCGAUGGCGCACGUCUCCAGUAUCCCUGAGGCAGCCUUACCCGUGUCACUUGGUGCCGCCUCCAACGCGCCCCGCUUCGCCACGAGCGGCGGCUCGGCCUCGGAGGACCGCAGUUCGUGUGGGCCUUCAUCGCAACAACUCGAUCGCCGCUGCGCUGAUGUGGCAGCGAGCACCCCCAGCAGGGCAGAUGGCAUCGAGCUGACAGGUCAGCGGAGGAGCGAGCCUGAAGUGAGCCCCUUCACCCCGUGCCAUUACCCUUCAAAGACCCUGUACUAUCAGCACCCGCAGCAGCAGCCGUACGGCUACGGCGUACACGCCCGACCUUACCCACUGCAGCAGCAUCACCAGCAGGCUUACGUUUAUGGUGGUUACCCGAGCCACAACUACCCUGCUAUGCCUCCUCAGCAGGGCUACUACGCACAGAUAACCGCACCGCCAAAGCAGCAGCAGCAGUACUACGCUCCGCCAGCGCCGAACAGCAGCCUGGCCAUGCUCGGAAGCGCGGCUGACGGUGCUCCUAGCCGAACUUUUGCAGAAGUGGCGUACGCAUCAAUGCCACCGCCGGCGCAGGCCCCUUACAUGGCCAGCGCCGGGGCAAUGAUGGGUCCGUACAGUUAUCUGCCGAUGCCGCCGAUGGCGCACUACGCUGGCGUUGCCCUUGGCAGCUUUGCGGACGUGCAGAGCGCUACACAGCGGCAAACUUCCGGGAAUGUUGCGGCUCACGUUCAGCACACCCAGGCGUUGGCGGUGGUGGCCGCCGAUCCCACCCCCGCCGCCGCUGCCUGUGCCCUGGGCAAGCCCACAAAGGCCAAAUCGCAGCACGCGGACCCACCACAGCAGCAUCAUCAGAGCGCCAAGAAGGUCGCCGCCCCCGACUCCGUCUCAAGCUUGGCGUCAACUCUCACCACGGCCUCGAAGGCCGGCACGCAGUCCGUGUCGACCGUGACCCGCACUUCGGCGGCGCUAAAACCGGCCAGGUCGUCCUCGAAGAAGCUCCCCAAGAAUCAAGACGAUGCGCGCUUUCACGUGAACCGUGACGCACCAGUUCGCUUGUUUGUGGUCGUGAAGCGCAAGAGAGAAGGUCAGCGGUACGCUUGCGCCCUCACCCCUGAGGAGGUGCCGGUGGGCAGCCACAUGCUUGUGGAGGGAGACCGCGGUGCCGACAUUGGCGAGGUGGUCCGCCACGUGUCAAUGGAGCAAAUGGCUCGCGACUGCGCCAUCGUGGAGCGGCUGCGACAGCGAGCGGUGGAGCGAAUGCCAGGGGGCAAGGAAGGCAUCGUCGGCAACGCGCAUGACGACGCUGCCAACGCCGGCCUCGACGAGGCCGAUUUGCCGCAUCUGACGGGAGAAGCUGCUCGGGAGUACGUCAUGUCACUCAAGACGUGGCCGUGGCUGAUUGGACCAGCCACGGCGGAGGACAUGGCGAGUCUGGGGCCGCAGCUCGAGGCCGAGAAGCAAGCCUACGCCACCGCUAAGCCGAUCGUGCAACAGUUCAUCGAAAACCGCUACCUGCAGCGCGUCGCGCGCAACGAGGCAGCACUGGCGGCGGCCGCCGCUACUGCCGAGGGGUCUAAGACGGCCGACGCCGUGGCUGCUGUGGCUGAGCAGUCGGGAGAGUGCAGCGCCGAUCACGCCUCCACAGACGACGGCGAUCGGCGUCGAAACGUGACACCUCUGUCGGUGGAAGAGCUGAAGAUGCUCGAACUGAGCCGCGAGGUCACGCUGCUCGACUGCGAGUAUCAAUUCACACGCGAGAAGAUCACACUGUACGUCAGCCGCCCGUCUCGCAACAUUUUCGUAGACUUCCGCAGCAUGCAGCGCAAGCUCUUCCGCACCUUCCGCUGUCGAAUCUGGAUCGCCUACAUGGACGAGGUGACGCACGAUAAGGACGCACCGGAGUCGUUUGUUUUUGUGCCCUCUCCGUCCACGCCCUUCGCUGCCGCCGCGCCGACGCGCGGCGAUGCCAAGGACACAAAGGAUGUGGUGUGAAGCAGCAGAUAGAAUUGCAGUACGGCCACACCAAGAGUUAGCACUUUGGAGUGUCUUCCACCCAAUCACCACCACCACGGCCCGUCCUCCCCCUCCCGUACAAAGACUGACACGCUAACAUCCGCCCUUUCUCCGCCUGCCUCUCCAUACGCCCCUUCGAUUCUGCGCCUCGUUCUGCCAUACAGGACAGGGGACUCGCGGGCGAAAAGGGGCGCAAGACGAAGGGCAGCAAACGCCGCAGCCCUCCCCACCCACCCACCCACCCCCCUCUCCCGCGCGAUCAGCGUGGGAAUACUGCGAUGGGCGAGGCUCGAGGCAUCCAUGCGUGCGUAUGGGCACAAACAAGGAACAUCCUUCACCCUCUCACCGAAACGAAAGCGUUCAUUUUUUUCACCCUAUUCCUCCCCGUCCUCCACCCCUUCCUUCGUCUCUCCCCCUUGUGAACAG